CCCUUAGAUGUUCUGGGCCGCACGCGCGCUACAAUGAUGCAGGCAACGAGUGCCGCUCCUUAGCCGAAAGGCUUGGGGAAUCUUGAAAACUGCAUCGUGCUAGGGAUAGAUGAUUGCAAUCGUGCAUCUUGAACGAGGAAUGCCUUGUAAGCGUGAGUCAUCAACUCGCGCUGAAUACGUCCCUGCCCUUUGUACACACCGCCCGUCGCUCCUACCGAUUGGAUGGUCCGGUGAACUGGUCGGACUGCUGUUUGAAAUUGCGAGUGCAGUUGAUUCACGGGAAGUCUAGUAAACCUUAUCAUCUAGAGGAAGGAGAAGUCGUAACA
This 326-nucleotide ribosomal RNA is filed under the name uncultured eukaryote. RNAcentral's name for it is "partial 18S ribosomal RNA". It matches the Rfam family "Eukaryotic small subunit ribosomal RNA", at positions 1470 to 1796 of the family's 1831-position model. The record is from RNAcentral.